This is a long non-coding RNA of Chinchilla lanigera (long-tailed chinchilla), 891 nucleotides long. RefSeq lists it as uncharacterized. The transcript is spliced from 3 exons. The record is from RefSeq and is a predicted model, not a curated record. NCBI's taxonomy places the organism in Eukaryota, Metazoa, Chordata, Mammalia, Rodentia, Chinchillidae.
GGCUCGUUCAGACGCGGGUUCCCAUCCGCACGGCUAUUGGAAGCAGGUUUCCCUCAUCCCUUCAAGGAAGGCGUGGCUCCAUUUGCAAGUUAUACAUCUGUUCUACUCACGUGACAUUUCAGAAAAGCCUUAACAUCUGGGCAAGAUAAACUUCCUUCAGAUGCAGGGAAAACCGCCUGACAUCAUGAGAGCGGGACAAACGCUCACUUUGAAGGAUUCCUGGGCAGGACUUCAAGUGAAAUCAUAUGCCUGAGAAGAACUUGAUACUGGUCUAGAGAAAAUAACUAGCUCUGACUUUGCCAAACCGUGGAAUGUGCAAAAUGCUCUACUUUUUUGCAAGAGGCCAAGUGUCCCUUAAAAAGCUCCAUUAUGAAUAUGAGCCCGAGGAGCGAAGGGGCAAGAAGUUGGUGCCUUUGUUGAAUGUGGGGAAAAGCUACACAAGGUGUGUGCGUUUCUGCUGCGUAAGGUUAUUUCAUCAGUAGUCUGUUCUGCUUUGGGGAGGGUACCUGCAACUGUGCGCGAAUGAUUAUCUCGGCAUGUGCUCAGCGUGGAUAUGCACGAAAAGGGGAAAUACAUGGGAAGAAAAACUUACUGCUUUCUUAUGACUGAAGGCUAUCAACCAGAUAAAAAUAAAAACAAAAUAAUGAUUUGCACAAUAAACAACUUAUUCAACACUUUAGAAUUCAUCCAAGGCCACUGACUACAAUACUCUCCCCUUGCAAAUGCGUUCUGGAUUAAAGGGGAAGACCUGAGUCCAGCCACCUAACUAAAUGGAAAGAUUUAUCUUCUUACUGAUAGAACAGGUAUCGAUGAAUCUUUUAAGCAAAUGUAGGCAGCAAAAAUAAAAUGAAAUGAAGAAAAGUGAGAAGAAGUAAUGGUGGAGAAGAUAAC